RNAcentral lists this transfer RNA (88 nucleotides) under Verrucomicrobiia bacterium. RNAcentral describes it as "tRNA-Ser". It matches the Rfam family "tRNA". From Rfam's summary of the family: Transfer RNA (tRNA) molecules are approximately 80 nucleotides in length. Their secondary structure includes four short double-helical elements and three loops (D, anti-codon, and T loops). The record is from RNAcentral. Lineage: Bacteria; Pseudomonadati; Verrucomicrobiota; Verrucomicrobiia.
GGAGAGGUGGCAGAGCGGUUGAAUGCAGCGGUCUUGAAAACCGCCGUGCCGAAAGGUACCGUGGGUUCGAAUCCCACCCUCUCCGCCA